RNAcentral lists this ribosomal RNA (253 nucleotides) under uncultured bacterium. Its description in RNAcentral is "partial 16S ribosomal RNA". It matches the Rfam family "Bacterial small subunit ribosomal RNA", at positions 524 to 776 of the family's 1533-position model. The record is from RNAcentral.
UACGUAGGAAGCGAGCGUUGUUCGGAGUUACUGGGCGUAAAGAGUGUGUAGGCGGUGCUCUAAGUCUGGUGUGAAAUCUCCCGGCUUAACUGGGAGGGUGCGCCGGAAACUGGAGUGCUUGAGUGUGGGAGAGGAAAGCGGAAUUCCUGGUGUAGCGGUGAAAUGCGUAGAUAUCAGGAGGAACACCUGUGGUGUAGACGGCUUUCUGGACCACUACUGACGCUGAGACACGAAAGCGUGGGGAGCAAACAGG